CCUUCGGGGGGCAGCAGUAGGGAAUCUUCCACAAUGGGCGCAAGCCUGAUGGAGCAACACCGCGUGCGUGAAGACGGGUUUCGGCUCGUAAAGCUCUGUUGUUGGAGAAGAACGUGCGUGAGAGUAACUGUUCACGCAGUGACGGUAUCAAACCAGAAAGUCACGGCUAACUACGUGCCAGCAGCCGCGGUAGUACGUAGGGGGCAAGCGUUAUCCGGAUGUAUUUGGCGUAAAGGGAGCGCAGGCGGUUGCUUAGGUCUGAGGUGAAAGCCUUCGGCUUAACCGAAGAAGUGCAUCGGAUACCGGGGGGCUAGAGUGCAGUAGCGGACAGUGGAACGUAAGGUGUAGCGGUGGAAUGCAUAGAGAUAAGAAAGAACACCGGUUGCGAAGGCAGCUGACUAGACUACGACUGACGCUGAGGCACGAAAGCAUGGGGAGCGAACAGGAUUAGAUACCCGAGUAGUC
Molecule: ribosomal RNA, 465 nt
Filed under: uncultured bacterium
Lineage: Bacteria
Description: partial 16S ribosomal RNA
Rfam family: Bacterial small subunit ribosomal RNA
Source: RNAcentral